CUUGCUCCUUGAUUCAGCGGCGGACGGGUGAGUAAUGCCUAGGAAUCUGCCUGGUAGUGGGGGACAACGUUUCGAAAGGAACGCUAAUACCGCAUACGUCCUACGGGAGAAAGCAGGGGACCUUCGGGCCUUGCGCUAUCAGAUGAGCCUAGGUCGGAUUAGCUAGUUGGUGGGGUAAUGGCUCACCAAGGCGACGAUCCGUAACUGGUCUGAGAGGAUGAUCAGUCACACUGGAACUGAGACACGGUCCAGACUCCUACGGGAGGCAGCAGUGGGGAAUAUUGGACAAUGGGCGAAAGCCUGAUCCAGCCAUGCCGCGUGUGUGAAGAAGGUCUUCGGAUUGUAAAGCACUUUAAGUUGGGAGGAAGGGCAGUAAGCUAAUACCUUGCUGUUUUGACGUUACCGACAGAAUAAGCACCGGCUAACUCUGUGCCAGCAGCCGCGGUAAUACAGAGGGUGCAAGCGUUAAUCGGAAUUACUGGGCGUAAAGCGCGCGUAGGUGGUUUGUUAAGUUGGAUGUGAAAGCCCCGGGCUCAACCUGGGAACUGCAUCCAAAACUGGCAAGCUAGAGUACGGUAGAGGGUGGUGGAAUUUCCUGUGUAGCGGUGAAAUGCGUAGAUAUAGGA
This 626-nucleotide ribosomal RNA is filed under the name Pseudomonas sp. RNAcentral describes it as "bacterial SSU rRNA". It matches the Rfam family "Bacterial small subunit ribosomal RNA", at positions 79 to 701 of the family's 1533-position model. The record is from RNAcentral. Lineage: Bacteria; Pseudomonadati; Pseudomonadota; Gammaproteobacteria; Pseudomonadales; Pseudomonadaceae.